RNAcentral lists this transfer RNA (82 nucleotides) under Asterophora parasitica. RNAcentral's name for it is "tRNA-Pro". It matches the Rfam family "tRNA". Rfam says of the family: Transfer RNA (tRNA) molecules are approximately 80 nucleotides in length. Their secondary structure includes four short double-helical elements and three loops (D, anti-codon, and T loops). Further hydrogen bonds mediate the characteristic L-shaped molecular structure. tRNAs have two regions of fundamental functional importance: the anti-codon, which is responsible for specific mRNA codon recognition, and the 3' end, to which the tRNAs corresponding amino acid is attached (by aminoacyl-tRNA synthetases). tRNAs cope with the degeneracy of the genetic code in two manners: having more than one tRNA (with a specific anti-codon) for a particular amino acid; and 'wobble' base-pairing, i.e. permitting non-standard base-pairing at the 3rd anti-codon position. The record is from RNAcentral. Lineage: Eukaryota; Fungi; Basidiomycota; Agaricomycetes; Agaricales; Lyophyllaceae.
GGCCUGAUGGUCUAGUAGUAUGAUUCCUUGUUAGGGUCAAGCCGUUUCGAGGAGGUCCUGGGUUCAAUUCCCAGUUAGGCCC